GCGACGACUGAACGCCGAAGAUGGAAUUACAAAUGAUUUCAACAAAGACAAUUUAGGUUUUUAAAAAGGAAGGUCCAGAACUACUACGGUACAGCUGUCACCCAGCCGGCAGGCGUCUUCUGCAAACCACGGCUACGAGAGCCGCCCGUCAGUAUACCCGCACGGUCCGUGUUUAUCGGACAUGGCGUUAUGAUUCCAGCACAAGCAUGGGCCUCCCUCCUCACAUCUAAGACAGACCCGAAGUUCCUCCGCAACAUUUGCUCUGCUGUGGGGGGCGAUGACGUCCUCAGGGAGAGAAGCGUGAAAGGCAUGAAGUGUAACACGGUGAAAGACGGCGUGGCAAAGCCUCCACUGAGCCCCCUGAAGCUUGCAGCUGCACGUGGUGCCUACUAUGAAUAUUUAAAGGUGGCCAACGAAAGUGGACGUCGAGAAGGAAGCAAAGCACCCCUUACUGACGCCGACUUCAACCGUGUUGUUUGCGACAAGAUACAGUACCUUUGAAAAAAAAGAUAAGAAGCUAAAUAAAUGUAUUCGUCUGUACUGUU
Long non-coding RNA from Ornithodoros turicata, 545 nucleotides. RefSeq lists it as uncharacterized. The transcript has 3 exons. Lineage: Eukaryota; Metazoa; Arthropoda; Arachnida; Ixodida; Argasidae. The record is from RefSeq and is a predicted model, not a curated record.